Molecule: long non-coding RNA, 2782 nt
Organism: Limulus polyphemus (Atlantic horseshoe crab)
Lineage: Eukaryota; Metazoa; Arthropoda; Merostomata; Xiphosura; Limulidae
Exons: 3
Source: RefSeq, a predicted model, not a curated record
UAACUUUGUUUAGCUCUUGUAUACGAGUUUUUGUGUAUCUAAUAAACUAAGACCAGUUAAAACCAAGUUUAUGAAUAAUGUACUUACUUUAUAAUAGUCCUAAAAUUAACAUAAAAUCAUAACUAUAAAUUGGAAUUCUGAUUUGUUAAAUUUUAGGAAUGCCUGUCAAUUGUGAAUAUUAAAUUUGAUCAUCUGUUUUACAAGAAUGAGUAAAUUUAGAAUGUAGUUUAGCUUUUAAUGCUUACUCGUGAAUUAACUUUGAUAUGUUUCAGUCUUAGAUCCUCUUCCCCAGAACCCAUUGAAAGAAACGUAUGGCAUUCAUACUAAUAAUAAGUCAAAUUUGCUAAAACGUUUCUAACAUUAGAGUUUAUUAAGAUAACAGCACCAUAUGAAAAACAGACAAAAUAUUUUUCAUUUUAUGUGAUGUUGCUCUCAAUUCAUUAUACUUUGUAGAUGAAAAAUGUUGAGUACCAUGCCAAGCAUUUCAAAUUUUUGAAGCUUUUUUUGCUUUAAUUUCCUGCAACAUUACAUUAAUUUUUUUUCUAGGGAGAAAUGAAUAUCUGCACACUUAAAUACAGCUCUACUUUUUUAAAUUUUCUACCUGGUGUCUAGAAGAAUGUGUUAAGAAUUUCAGAUCUAAGAUUGUACUUAUUUCAUAUUUCAUUUAUAUUCAUCUUUCUUAAUAUUGAAGUAAUAUAAUAUGUUGAGGAUUUUGUUUUCUUUCAGAAAAGUAUGAAAACACUUUUCUGAAAAUAGACCUGAUAUGGUCUGGUGGUUAGGGUUCUCAACUUGUAAUCUGUCAGUCUUGGAUUUGAAUCCCUGCGAAAUUGCUUGUCUUUUCAGCUGUGAGGGUGUUAUAAUGUGAUGGUCAAUCACACUAUUCGUUAGUAAAAGAGUAGCCCAAGAGUUGGUGAUGGGUGGUGUUGACUAGCUGCCUUCCCUCUUGUCUGUCACUGGUAAAAUAAGGAUGGCUAGUGCAGAUAGCUCUUGUGUAGAGUUGCGCGGAAUUCAAACCAAACUUGUCAGAAAAUAGAACAAUACGUUUGCUGUCGGGAUUGUUAUUUUAUUGUAAAAUAUAUCUAUCCACAUUUGUUUUUUUUUAAUCAACAUUGUAAACUGUGUACUGAAUGGGUUACAGUAGCAGAGAUUGGACUUUGCAUACACAUGCAGAAAAAAUUACCUUCUAUUUUAAAAAUAAAAGCUGCAGACUAUACAUUUUGUAAUUUGCUGGGAGGACUAAUUCAUUUCUUUUACUGCUAGAUUGUACAUAUUGUUAGUAUUUUUGAAUAUAAUUUUUGCUUUUACCAUUAAUUAAUGUCUUGUAACUUCCAACUCGCAAAAAGUCAUUUAAACUUUAAAGUUUGGGAGAUAAUGAACUUCAAUUAUCCAAUAAAAUUUCAGUUUUAGGAUUUCACCAUGUAUAUGAUUUAGCUUAUUUUUUUCCAAGCUUUUUUUAUAUUUUAAGAUAUAGGUAUACCGUUGCAAAACAAAGCAAUUUGGUUGGAGGAACUCACUGAAAAACUGGGGAAAAGUACAAGCACUCCUGUAGAAUCAUACAAGCUUCAAGAUCUAGAGAACAAGAUUAGUCAGUUGCAACAGGAUUUGGCCAAGGUAUUGGAAGAAAUUCAAUAAGCUGCUGCUUUUAAAUCCCUGAAAUCAUUAUAGCUGGAAAUGUGAACAAGGUCAAAAGGCCACCCUAGAGGAAAAGCUGAAGAAGCUUCAAGAAGAAAACUUAAGGUUACAAGAAGAAUCUCUAUCUACAUCAGUUCAACUUCGACGUUUUACUGAAUGGUUCUUUAAUAAUAUUGAGUAGAUAAUCCAUAGCGUUGACUUUGAAGGAUUCACACAGUAUUGUUAAAAUUCUGUAAUAUGAUUGUUGUGAGUCCAAACUUCAAAGUCAGACAUGAUUGUUCUACAUAUACAGGCAGAAUGAUAAAUUCUAACAUCUGUUCAGGUGUCACUGUUCAAGUAUCAGAACAAGAUUAACUUUUCAUUAGUUUGCAAUUGAUACUGUACACUCUAAGACUUUCAUUAUUAUUUGCUGUAUUUUCUUCAACUCUUUCUCAAAGAAUGACAAUUAAGAAAAAUUACAUCAUAGCUUCAGCCAAUAAUAGACCAAGUGAAAUUAGUAUGUGAAUAAAGAGUAUAGUUAUUCCACAAUAUGUAGAAGGAAUGUUUAAAGAGAAAAAUUAUAGUUAGCAAAUUGGAAGAUAAUUUGUUGUUAAAUAGACUGUCUAUUAAUAAAUAUUAAACCUAUUAGUAGAUGGAAAAGAGAAUGUAUCAUACAUAUUUUGAAUAGCAUGUUUGUCAAGAUGUAAACUUAGGCUGGUGGUACUAUCUAGAAUUUUAAUUUAACAUUCAGAUAGGUUUAGUAUGAUGUACAAAACUACUCGAGUCUACCAUGUCUUCACCAAGUGUCCUUAUUAAUGCUCUUCUACCAAAGAAGUUAUUCCAGAGUUUUGUUAUAAAGUACUGUAGAAAGAGACAUGUAAUAUUAAAGUGUGGGAUCAUGAUUUAGAUUAACAUGGAUAUUGGUCACUAUAGGGUAUUAUGAAAAUGCUGUAUCGUGUAACAGUGUCUAACCAGGGGCCAGCAAUAUGCCUUCUUACAAAAUAAAACUUUUUUUUUGUAAAGUAUAUUUAAAUUUUUAUAAUCAUAUUUUGAUUUGAUCAUAUUUACUUGUCAUGAAUCAGCACUUAUUUUUUAUCACUAGUCAGGAUACAUUGUAUUGAUUGAUCUUUAUGUAUAUAACUUUAUGUACAUAAAAUUCCAAACUUUAAUA